Non-coding RNA from Pelobates cultripes (western spadefoot toad), 847 nucleotides. Lineage: Eukaryota; Metazoa; Chordata; Amphibia; Anura; Pelobatidae. The record is from the annotation of a GenBank genome assembly.
CCUUUCAAAAAAUGAGAAGUGAAAAUUGAAUGGUUCCCUUUCACUUGUGAAGUUAAUUUACCCACAAUCCAUGAGUUAAAAGAAUCCUACAAGAGCAAGCUGCAGACAUCAUGAUCGAGAAGUACAAAAUAGCGGCACCUGUCUGAGAUUCAACACGCAAAGAAUAGAUACUAAAAAUAAGUAAAAGCAGUGGCUGGGGGUGGGAGUAUAAUCUUUAACAUACAGAGGGUAUACGGAAUGGAAAACUGAAAAAAUGACAGUGAGAAAAGGGGUUACCCUUUAGACACCAAUGACACAAGGCACUGCUUUCAAACUUCUGCAGUCACCCUUUUUCAUCUCUCUUCCCCCCUCAUCAUUACAUCUCUUUUUCCCCUCAUUUAUUUAAUUUCCCCUUCCCAUAGCAUUUGUCUUUUCUUCUCCUAAUUCUCUCUGAACCCUCAUGUAGUCAUUUUUCUUUCCACUUCUGAUUUCCCUUUUCUCUUAACCAUUCUAUAUCUCGUUCCUGGGAUUGUGCCUUUUGGCAGACCUAUUGUGUCAGUCAUUGGAUCUUUGAGUGAAUGCGUAAGUGAUUUCAUUGAUGUGCAGUGUCUAUCUUGUGCACCCUGUCACUGCUCCUUUCCUCUUACAGUGUUUAUAGUAGAGUCUGAGGCUUGUUAUCUCUGUCACCCACUAGCAGCCUGCCUCAUAUUAUAAAUUCUGCAUGUUAUGGACAGUGGCAAUCCUGUCUAUCUCAUGUAAUACGGCCACACUACAAACUUUCAUGAUGCAAGUCACUUGGCUGAAUGCAUUUGAAUCAAUAUCUGCAUGAAAAACGUCUUUUUUUAAUAAGUCUGAUGCAAAGUGUACA